UACGGAGGAUCCAAGCGUUAUCCGGAUUUAUUGGGUUUAAAGGGUGCGUAGGCGGCUUAUUAAGUCAGGGGUGAAAGACGGUGGCUCAACCAUCGCAGUGCCCUUGAUACUGAUGAGCUUGAAUACACUUGAGGUAGGCGGAAUGUGACAAGUAGCGGUGAAAUGCAUAGAUAAGUCACAGAACACCAAUUGCGAAGGCAGCUUACUAAGGUGCAAUUGACGCUGAGGCACGAAAGCGUGGGGAUCAAACAGG
This 253-nucleotide ribosomal RNA is filed under the name uncultured bacterium. Its description in RNAcentral is "partial 16S ribosomal RNA". It matches the Rfam family "Bacterial small subunit ribosomal RNA", at positions 524 to 776 of the family's 1533-position model. The record is from RNAcentral.